RNAcentral lists this unclassified non-coding RNA (350 nucleotides) under plant metagenome. RNAcentral's name for it is "partial contains 5.8S ribosomal RNA, internal transcribed spacer 2, and large subunit ribosomal RNA". The stretch from base 1 to 105 matches the Rfam family "5.8S ribosomal RNA", at positions 50 to 154 of the family's 154-position model. The record is from RNAcentral.
GAAAUGCGAUAAGUAAUGUGAAUUGCAGAAUUCAGUGAAUCAUCGAAUCUUUGAACGCACCUUGCGCUCCUUGGUAUUCCGAGGAGCAUGCCUGUUUGAGUGUCAUGGAAUUCUCAACUCUAUUUGCUUUUGUGAAUAGAGCUUGGAUUUGGAGGUUUAUUGCUGGUACUUGUGAUCGGCUCCUCUUGAAUGCAUUAGCUCGAACCUUUGCGGAUCAGCUAUCGGUGUGAUAAUUGUCUACGCCGUUGCAGUGAAGCAUAUCAAUGGGCUCGGCUUCCAAUCGUCCUUUACUGGACAAUGACUUUGACCUUUGACCUCAAAUCAGGUAGGAUUACCCGCUGAACAUAAGC